Molecule: ribosomal RNA, 804 nt
Filed under: uncultured Psychrobacter sp.
Lineage: Bacteria; Pseudomonadati; Pseudomonadota; Gammaproteobacteria; Moraxellales; Moraxellaceae
Description: bacterial SSU rRNA
Rfam family: Bacterial small subunit ribosomal RNA
Source: RNAcentral
GCCCGGAAUACCGAUGGGCGAGCAGCCUUCUGGCAUCAUACUGACACUGAGGCUCGAAAGCGUGGGUAGCAAACAGGAUUAGAUACCCUGGUAGUCCACGCCGUAAACGAUGUCUACUAGUCGUUGGGUCCCUUGAGGACUUAGUGACGCAGCUAACGCAAUAAGUAGACCGCCUGGGGAGUACGGCCGCAAGGUUAAAACUCAAAUGAAUUGACGGGGGCCCGCACAAGCGGUGGAGCAUGUGGUUUAAUUCGAUGCAACGCGAAGAACCUUACCUGGUCUUGACAUAUCUAGAAUCCUGCAGAGAUGCGGGAGUGCCUUCGGGAAUUAGAAUACAGGUGCUGCAUGGCUGUCGUCAGCUCGUGUCGUGAGAUGUUGGGUUAAGUCCCGCAACGAGCGCAACCCUUGUCCUUAGUUACCAGCGGGUUAAGCCGGGAACUCUAAGGAUACUGCCAGUGACAAACUGGAGGAAGGCGGGGACGACGUCAAGUCAUCAUGGCCCUUACGACCAGGGCUACACACGUGCUACAGUGGUAGGUACAGAGGGCAGCUACACAGCGAUGUGAUGCGAAUCUCAAAAAGCCUAUCGUAGUCCAGAUUGGAGUCUGCAACUCGACUCCAUGAAGUAGGAAUCGCUAGUAAUCGCGGAUCAGAAUGCCGCGGUGAAUACGUUCCCGGGCCUUGUACACACCGCCCGUCACACCAUGGGAGUUGAUUGCACCAGAAGUGGAUAGCUUAACCUUCGGGGGAGCGUUCACCACGGUGUGGUUUGAUGACUGGGGUGAAGUCGUAACAAGGUAACCA